Molecule: non-coding RNA, 93 nt
Organism: Zopfochytrium polystomum
Lineage: Eukaryota; Fungi; Chytridiomycota; Chytridiomycetes; Chytridiales; Chytridiaceae
Source: the annotation of a GenBank genome assembly
GCCCGUGUAGCAAAGUGGUAUUGCGUUUCCCUCCUACUCGUCAUGUGGCGCAGGGUCAGGAAGAGAUCGUGGGUUCGAUCCCCACCAUGGGCU